UUACCAUGCAGUCGAACGGCAGCACGGGGGCAACCCUGGUGGCGAGUGGCGAACGGGUGAGUAAUACAUCGGAACGUGUCCUGUAGUGGGGGAUAGCCCGGCGAAAGCCGGAUUAAUACCGCAUACGCUCUACGGAGGAAAGGGGGGGAUCGCAAGACCUCUCGCUACAGGGGCGGCCGAUGGCAGAUUAGCUAGUUGGUGGGGUAAAGGCCUACCAAGGCGACGAUCUGUAGCUGGUCUGAGAGGACGACCAGCCACACUGGGACUGAGACACGGCCCAGACUCCUACGGGAGGCAGCAGUGGGGAAUUUUGGACAAUGGGCGCAAGCCUGAUCCAGCAAUGCCGCGUGUGUGAAGAAGGCCUUCGGGUUGUAAAGCACUUUUGUCCGGAAAGAAAACUUCUGCCCUAAUACGGCGGGAGGAUGACGGUACCGGAAGAAUAAGCACCGGCUAACUACGUGCCAGCAGCCGCGGUAAUACGUAGGGUGCAAGCGUUAAUCGGAAUUACUGGGCGUAAAGCGUGCGCAGGCGGUCCGCUAAGACAGAUGUGAAAUCCCCGGGCUUAACCUGGGAACUGCAUUUGUGACUGGCGGGCUAGAGUAUGGCAGAGGGGGGUAGAAUUCCACGUGUAGCAGUGAAAUGCGUAGAGAUGUGGAGGAAUACCGAUGGCGAAGGCAGCCCCCUGGGCCAAUACUGACGCUCAUGCACGAAAGCGUGGGGAGCAACAGGAUUAGAUACCCUGGUAGUCCACGCCCUAAACGAUGUCAACUAGUUGUUGGGUCUUCAUUGACUUAGUAACGUAGCUAACGCGUGAAGUUGACCGCCUGGGGAGUACGGUCGCAAGAUAAACC
Molecule: ribosomal RNA, 851 nt
Filed under: Paraburkholderia bryophila
Lineage: Bacteria; Pseudomonadati; Pseudomonadota; Betaproteobacteria; Burkholderiales; Burkholderiaceae
Description: bacterial SSU rRNA
Rfam family: Bacterial small subunit ribosomal RNA
Source: RNAcentral